Crotalus tigris (Tiger rattlesnake) is the source of this 3310-nucleotide long non-coding RNA. RefSeq lists it as uncharacterized. The record is from RefSeq and is a predicted model, not a curated record. NCBI's taxonomy places the organism in Eukaryota, Metazoa, Chordata, Lepidosauria, Squamata, Viperidae. The transcript is spliced from 2 exons.
AAUAGACUGACUCUGUAAACCGCUUAGAGAGGGCUGUCAAGCACUAUGAAACAAUAUAUAAUUCUAAGUGCUAUUGCUAUUUUUCCAUUGCUGAAGCUUUGAAGCAGUGGCUGAAGAUUUCCCAUCGAAGUGAGGAUGGCUGAAGGUGGAGUUUAUCUUAUUGCAGAACAGUUGUUCACUCCUCCAGCUGCUGUCCUGGAACAGUCUUGGUCCUGGUUCUUGAGAUUUGGGGGGAAAUCCAGCCGAUGUUGCAAUGCCAUUGUGAAAUGCACAAGAUACUUGCAUCAUUUUGGAAGAGCAUUGCGCUCUUAGGAGCACUUUCUUUACCAUGUGAUCGGCCACAAAUUAUUGCUCAUGCCUUUGAAGAUGGCCUAAGCUUGCCGUAGGUUUUGUAUUGCAAGAAAUAAAAUCUUAUUUGGGAUUACUUUUUUGGGAAGUUAAAAUAACAUCUCAAUUUUAGGGGCUAUUUGGGUAAAAAGGAUGAUUGGUCAAGUGAAAGACCAUUCAAACUGAUUUUACAUAAUCGAUGCUAAUGACCUAAAUGACAUCCAUUGUCCGGUCUGCUUUGGAAACAAUGGGAGUGACCAUUGCAUUUGAAGUUUGCUGUAUGGAGAUCCAGGGAAGCAACGUUUUACUGUAACUGUUUCCUCCUACCAAGUUUUAGUUUUGUGAGAACAAACAAAGCAUCCUUCCUUGGACAACUACGGAUUGAAAGAGAGCAGUAUCCACCUCUCCAUCCAUAGGAAUGAAGCUGCUUCACGCAAUUAACACAACUUUGAUCAGCCUUGAGGACCACGCCAGGAUCACUGUGGCAUGUCAUUCUCCAAAAAGCCAUUGGAAGAGCGCGCUCAGGAGCAAAAUGGGGGCCUUGAGUUUUGCAAGCCUCGUUUGCUCCUUCAUACCUCCUGCUAAAAAAAAGGUUGACCCCCCAAAAAAACCUUUUCUGCCCCGGAGGAAAUGAGAACCCCAAAAGGAAAUGAGGACUCCCCAAGCUCACCACUGAGGUAUGGGUCUGCUUGCAGCAGCCAUCCAACAGUGUUCCCGGUUCAUUCACCCUUGGAGACGGUAACUUCUCAGGCAGAUCAUUAUCCCAAAGUAUGGGUCAUCACAUUUAAUUAAAAUGCUGACUGGUUACUUAUUUUCUUCCAGAAACUUGUCAUCUGCUGAGAACUCAACCACCCAGCCUAGAAAAGGGGAGGCAUGUUGAGAAUGAGGAAACUGCUUCAUAGAAAAUAAGGCAGGAGAAUUAAAUUACAUGGACCACUUCUCAUGCCAUUGUACUCAUUUUCAGUCGGCGAAGAGUGACAACAUAGCCACAGUGCCUCAUCCCACAAAGAUUGGGAAAAUGGCAUGAGGGAAACCUCAGCCAUUAUCUGUUCAGCACAGCAGAGGAGUCCCUGUGGAUUCCUGGUUUGCCUCAUCAGUGGCUCAGUCAAGCUACGCAAAAUGGUGGUUGGGGGGAAGAUAUUGAACCAAUUGCAGAAGAAACCAAACUAAUCUCAUUCAUUUCAUGUACGUAAUGUUUUGGGCUUUAUCUAAAAUCUCCAAGAUUUAAAAGGACGGAAGCAGGUUGAAAUAUAGAGGGAAUUUCAAAAGUCACAAUCCUAAUGUGCUCUGACAAGGAGCUUCUGCAAAACACAGGCAGAAAUACUUUGUGCAUCUAAACAUUAUGUGGCUAAGGGGUAUAUCAAAUCAUGCAUGGAAAAUGUGAAUUCAGAGAGUGUGCCCCUUACAGGGUUAAAACCCUAAGUACUAGUUAACUGAUAACAAAGCUAUCAAUAUGAUUAGGUCUUUUGUAAAAAUCAGUCAUAUGACCCUGUUCUACCAGCAUAUCCUGGGAAAUAUUGUAAAAACAGAAAAGGGGUAUCUUGGAUGAGCAAAAAAUGGACGCAAUUAUUUUGUGAUAAGAGGUAAUAAUAACACACUUUCUUUAGAAAACAAGUCAAAUCCGGUAAGGGACACUCAUGUGUGACAGAAAUGCAUAAGAUAAUGCAAUGUGGGUAUGUGUGGGGGGAGGGAAUACCAUCAAAACAGUAAGAAAUAUAUGAUACUUUAAAAAGUUUCUCUAGUACAGCACCUAAACAACCUUGAUUGAUCUUGGAAAAGCUAAGUCCUGUUAGUGCAGACUUGUAUUUCUAUGAUAUUUCUAUUGUUAUAGUAUUUCUACACGAGAUCACCAGGAAGGCUCAGAACUAGGUAGAGAAGUUUGGGGGGGAAAUAAUUCCCCAAAUGGAACCAAAAGCCAGUUCUCCACCAUUGUCAAGAAAACUUCACGAGUGACCCCCAAAUUCCUGACCAAGAGUUGAAUUCAACACGAGUCUUCUGAAAAUGAUUAAUACUAUAAGAGUAUAUACUGUACAUUCAGACUCGGCUAUUGCAAACAAACUCAAGAAAAUUUCAACCUUAAAAUAUUGGAAUAUUUGUUAUAGGAUGCUUGAUAUCAAAUUCAAGUCUUCUGAUGCUGGCUGAUCAUCUUUGUUUUAAAAACUAUAAGCUCCUCAGCAGCUGAACCACGUUUCUGUAAUUGCAAACGUAAAAUAAAUCCCCCCCAACAGUUUAAUUACACCAAAAAGCAGAAAAGUACUCAUGCCUCAUUAGAAAACUCAUUAUCAGAAAACAAACCAAUUUCUAUACAAUGGAAGCCAAAUAUAUUUAUAGAGGAAAUGUGUUACCACUUGGAUAAAAUGUUCAUUAACAGCUUGCAGGUCUACCAUUUCUGUAAACAACAAUACGCAUUCGGCUGAGAAAUGAACACAGGAAAUACUAUAUAGAAACUAGAGCAUAAUUCAUGGUGUGGUCUUAGUAAACCAGUAGGAAUUGUGUAAAUAUUUUGCCAAGAGAACCAAAAAAGGUUGGUUUUGUGAAAUAGCUUUGGCUCGUUCUUUAAAGAAAAUAAAAAAAGUUUGCUUAUUAAUUGGAUGAUAGCUUCAAGUAUCUGUUACAUAUUUUUCAUGCUAGGAAAAUCUAAAAUAUUAACAAAGAAAUCCUUAUUAUUUUUUUUUAAUCUGGUCUGUAAUUUCUCACCCCUGGAUAGAAUAUCAGUGUCUUGACUAAAAGAAGUUCAGCCUCAUUGUCCUUCAACCUUUUCUAUAAUAUAUGGGAAGAUACUUCACAGAUCUUAAAAGGGCAACUAAAAGUAACAAAAACACUUUGAAAUACAAUAUACUUUACACAAAGUAAUCUUUCACUUAAAGUAUCAAAUGGUGCCACAAAACAUGCCAAUCACUUCAGAAACAGGUCAAAAGCUGAUUUUGCUUCCUGCUAUUUUUGUAUUAUGCAGUUCAGAAUUAUUCCUUUUACAAAAGGGUUA